AGUGAACGCUGGCGGUAGGCCUAACACAUGCAAGUCGAAUGGCAGCACAGUAAGAGCUUGCUCUUACGGGUGGCGAGUGGCGGACGGGUGAGGAAUACAUCGGAAUCUACUUUUUCGUGGGGGAUAACGUAGGGAAACUUACGCUAAUACCGCAUACGACCUACGGGUGAAAGCAGGGGAUCUUCGGACCUUGCGCGAUUGAAUGAGCCGAUGCCGGAUUAGCUAGUUGGCGGGGUAAAGGCCCACCAAGGCGACGAUCCGUAGCUGGUCUGAGAGGAUGAUCAGCCACACUGGAACUGAGACACGGUCCAGACUCCUACGGGAGGCAGCAGUGGGGAAUAUUGGACAAAGGGCGCAAGCCUGAUCCAGCCAUACCGCGUGGGUGAAGAAGGCCUUCGGGUUGUAAAGCCCUUUUGUUGGGAAAGAAAAGCAGCAGGUUAAUACCCCGCUGUUCUGACGGUACCCAAAGAAUAAGCACCGGCUAACUUCGUG
This 492-nucleotide ribosomal RNA is filed under the name uncultured bacterium. Its description in RNAcentral is "partial 16S ribosomal RNA". It matches the Rfam family "Bacterial small subunit ribosomal RNA", at positions 29 to 507 of the family's 1533-position model. The record is from RNAcentral.